Molecule: transfer RNA, 90 nt
Filed under: Chloroflexota bacterium
Lineage: Bacteria; Bacillati; Chloroflexota
Also listed under: 1 other name
Description: Chloroflexi bacterium tRNA-Ser
Rfam family: tRNA
About the family: Transfer RNA (tRNA) molecules are approximately 80 nucleotides in length. Their secondary structure includes four short double-helical elements and three loops (D, anti-codon, and T loops).
Source: RNAcentral
GGAGCGGUGCCGGAGUGGUCGAACGGGCACGCCUGGAGAGCGUGUAGGGGUUAACGCCUCUCGUGGGUUCGAAUCCCACCCGCUCCGCCA